Molecule: ribosomal RNA, 504 nt
Filed under: uncultured bacterium
Lineage: Bacteria
Description: partial 16S ribosomal RNA
Rfam family: Bacterial small subunit ribosomal RNA
Source: RNAcentral
ACUCAAAUGAAUAGACGGGGGCCCGCACAAGCGGCGGAGCAUGCGGAUUAAUUCGAUGCAACGCGAAGAACCUUACCUGGGUUUGACAUGCACCGGGCGACGUCAGAGAUGGCGUUUCUUUUGCUGGUGUGCAGGUGGUGCAUGGCUGUCGUCAGCUCGUGUCGUGAGAUGUUGGGUUAAGUCCCGCAACGAGCGCAACCCUCGUUCCAUGUUGCCAGCGGCUCUCUUCGGAGGGGCCGGGGACUCAUGGGAGACUGCCGGGGUCAACUCGGAGGAAGGUGGGGAUGACGUCAAGUCAUCAUGCCCCUUAUGUCCAGGGCUUCACGCAUGCUACAAUGGCCGGUACAAAGGGUUGCGAUGCUGUGAGGCGGAGCGAAUCCCAAAAAGCCGGUCUCAGUUCGGAUUGGGGUCUGCAACUCGACCCCAUGAAGUCGGAGUCGCUAGUAAUCGCAGAUCAGCAACGCUGCGGUGAAUACGUUCCCGGGCCUUGUACACACCGCCCGU